GCGUACGGCCAUAUCAGCCUGGGUAUGCCCGAUCUCGUCUGAUCUCGGAAGCUAAGCAGGGUCGGGCCUGGUUAGUACUUGGAUGGGAGACCGCCUGGGAAUACCAGGUGCUGUAAGCA
This 119-nucleotide ribosomal RNA is filed under the name Salmo salar (Atlantic salmon). The record is from RNAcentral. Lineage: Eukaryota; Metazoa; Chordata; Actinopteri; Salmoniformes; Salmonidae.